Molecule: ribosomal RNA, 497 nt
Filed under: uncultured bacterium
Lineage: Bacteria
Description: partial 16S ribosomal RNA
Rfam family: Bacterial small subunit ribosomal RNA
Source: RNAcentral
GAUGAACGCUGGCGGCGUGCCUAAUACAUGCCAGUCGAGCGAACAGACAAGGAGCUUGCUCCUCUGACGUUAGCGGCGGACGGGUGAGUAACACGUGGAUAACCUACCUAUAAGACUGGGAUAACUUCGGGAAACCGGAGCUAAUACCGGAUAAUAUAUUGAACCGCAUGGUUCAAUAGUGAAAGACGGUUUUGCUGUCACUUAUAGAUGGAUCCGCGCCGCAUUAGCUAGUUGGUAAGGUAACGGCUUACCAAGGCAACGAUGCGUAGCCGACCUGAGAGGGUGAUCGGCCACACUGGAACUGAGACACGGUCCAGACUCCUACGGGAGGCAGCAGUAGGGAAUCUUCCGCAAUGGGCGAAAGCCUGACGGAGCAACGCCGCGUGAGUGAUGAAGGUCUUCGGAUCGUAAAACUCUGUUAUUAGGGAAGAACAAAUGUGUAAGUAACUAUGCACGUCUUGACGGUACCUAAUCAGAAAGCCACGGCUAACUACGUG